GACGAACGCUGGCGGCGUGCUUAACACAUGCAAGUCGAACGGGAAGGCCCUGCUUUUGUGGGGUGCUCGAGUGGCGAACGGGUGAGUAACACGUGAGUAACCUGCCCUUGACUUUGGGAUAACUUCAGGAAACUGGGGCUAAUACCGGAUAGGAGCUCCUGCUGCAUGGUGGGGGUUGGAAAGUUUCGGCGGUUGGGGAUGGACUCGCGGCGUAUCAGCUUGUUGGUGGGGUAGUGGCUUACCAAGGCUUUGACGGGUAGCCGGCCUGAGAGGGUGACCGGCCACAUUGGGCCUGAGAUGCGGCCCAGACUCCAACGGGAGGCAGCAGUGGGGAAUAUUGUACAAUGGGCGGAAGCCUGGUGCAGCAACGCCGCGUGCGGGAUGACGGCCUUCGGGUUGUAAACCACUUUCGCCUGUGACGAAGCGUGAGUGACGGUAAUGGGUAAAGAAGCACCGGCUAACUACGUG
RNAcentral lists this ribosomal RNA (468 nucleotides) under uncultured bacterium. RNAcentral's name for it is "partial 16S ribosomal RNA". It matches the Rfam family "Bacterial small subunit ribosomal RNA", at positions 28 to 507 of the family's 1533-position model. The record is from RNAcentral.